Molecule: long non-coding RNA, 497 nt
Filed under: Sarcophilus harrisii (Tasmanian devil)
Lineage: Eukaryota; Metazoa; Chordata; Mammalia; Dasyuromorphia; Dasyuridae
Description: lncRNA (ENSSHAG00000026174.1)
Source: RNAcentral
UGCUCUUUGAGGGUUGUUAUGGCUGAAAAUGAAAUCCUGUGGCCAGGGAGACUCCGAAUUUUGUUACACACGUCUCCAGAGAGCAGAAACACAAUCCAUUCCUUGAUUUGUACUAAAGAUUGCUUGACAUGUUACUUGAAGGAGUCCAUAGACAUAUUGCCUAAACAGGUCCAUUUGGAUGCCCUAAGAAUCAUUGAUCUUUGAAAUUUCUAAUCAUAAUCUACUUGCAAGUCAACACGAAAUGAUGUUUGUCCAAAAACUGGUGGUCAUUUAGAUGUAAAAGCAUAAUUGUUUGAAAAUGGGCUCAAAAUCCUUUGGAGCAUUCGGAGUUUGACUCUUGGCAAGACAAGAUUUCCUGUUUCUAAGAAAAAAGGCUCAAUGCAGCUUCUUGGACAUCAAAACAACAUUUGAUGAAUUAAUUGUAAAUGAAUCAGAAACAUAUGGAGUCAAUUUCCCCUGCAAUACACAUGUGUUUGAAAAAUUAAAGGGGGAAAAUG